CCGACCUUAGCUCAGUUGGUAGAGCGGAGGACUGUAGUUUGAGCAGAUCAAUCCUUAGGUCGCUGGUUCGAAUCCGGCAGGUCGGA
RNAcentral lists this transfer RNA (86 nucleotides) under Zea mays. It matches the Rfam family "tRNA". From Rfam's summary of the family: Transfer RNA (tRNA) molecules are approximately 80 nucleotides in length. Their secondary structure includes four short double-helical elements and three loops (D, anti-codon, and T loops). The record is from Rfam by way of RNAcentral. Lineage: Eukaryota; Viridiplantae; Streptophyta; Magnoliopsida; Poales; Poaceae.